GUAGCCCCAACCAUAAACACUGCAAGUGGUCUUUUCAGGAAUUGUGCAUCCAUAAUUAGUCCCUACCACAUUACUCAUCUCUGAAAAAUAUAUAUGAUACAAAUCUUACUUUGUAUCAAUUCAGCUUAAAUUUGAAGAAAGAAAACAUGCCAACAAUAAAAGUUGUAUCUAUAGAAGAGUAGGUGCCCUCAAGUCGGUUCUGACUCAUAGCAACCCUGUGACAACAGAAGGAAACACUGCCCGGUCGUGCACCAUCCUCACAGUCUUUGCUAUGCUUAUCUAAAAAUGUUAGCUGCCAGUGUACAUCCACAUUAAGAAUAUUCUAUGAUGGGGUUGUUAACCAAUGUCACAAAACAAUAUGUGUACUACUAUUUCAUGAGAAACUGUUUGUUCUGUAAGCCUUCACCUGAAGUACAAUAAAAAAAAAAAAAGAAUAUUCUAUGAUAAAAAAAAUUGGUAAACCAUGGCAUGCUGCUAUUGGAUUUAAAAUAUAUCUUGUGAUUAUCAUAAAUAGUAGUAUAAACCAAAAAACCAAACGUUUUGCCUUCGAGUCGACUGACUCAUAGUGAUCCCAUAGGACACAGUAGAACUGCCCCAUAGAGUUUCCAAGCAGCGGCUAGUGGAUUCGAACUGCUGACAUUUUGGUCAGCAGCUGAGCUCUUAACCACUGCACCACCAGGGCAAAUCUCAAUAAAAUUGAUUAAACGUGUAAUU
Trichechus manatus latirostris (Florida manatee) is the source of this 714-nucleotide long non-coding RNA. RefSeq lists it as uncharacterized. The transcript is spliced from 3 exons. NCBI's taxonomy places the organism in Eukaryota, Metazoa, Chordata, Mammalia, Sirenia, Trichechidae. The record is from RefSeq and is a predicted model, not a curated record.